UCGAGCGAAUCGANGGGAGCUUGCUCCCUGAGAUUAGCGGCGGACGGGUGAGUAACACGUGGGCAACCUGCCUAUAAGACUGGGAUAACUUCGGGAAACCGGAGCUAAUACCGGAUACGUUCUUUUCUCGCAUGAGAGAAGAUGGAAAGACGGUUUACGCUGUCACUUAUAGAUGGGCCCGCGGCGCAUUAGCUAGUUGGUGAGGUAAUGGCUCACCAAGGCGACGAUGCGUAGCCGACCUGAGAGGGUGAUCGGCCACACUGGGACUGAGACACGGCCCAGACUCCUACGGGAGGCAGCAGUAGGGAAUCUUCCGCAAUGGACGAAAGUCUGACGGAGCAACGCCGCGUGAACGAAGAAGGCCUUCGGGUCGUAAAGUUCUGUUGUUAGGGAAGAACAAGUACCAGAGUAACUGCUGGUACCUUGACGGUACCUAACCAGAAAGCCACGGCUAACUACGUGCCAGCAGCCGCGGUAAUACGUAGGUGGCAAGCGUUGUCCGGAAUUAUUGGGCGUAAAGCGCGCGCAGGUGGUUCCUUAAGUCUGAUGUGAAAGCCCACGGCUCAACCGUGGAGGGUCAUUGGAAACUGGGGAACUUGA
Molecule: ribosomal RNA, 600 nt
Filed under: bacterium Ri.S3
Lineage: Bacteria
Description: bacterial SSU rRNA
Rfam family: Bacterial small subunit ribosomal RNA
Source: RNAcentral